This 658-nucleotide long non-coding RNA is filed under the name Cricetulus griseus (Chinese hamster). RNAcentral describes it as "lncRNA (ENSCGRG00015038455.1)". The record is from RNAcentral. Lineage: Eukaryota; Metazoa; Chordata; Mammalia; Rodentia; Cricetidae.
CUCAAGGCAACCAUAGAGACUUUUCCCAACAUGCGUCAUAGAAUCCAAAAUCUCCCUUCUCCACAUUUACCUACUUGUCCACAGAAGAGCUGGCCAUAAAGAAGUUCUCGGAUCUACAGCAUCCAAGUAGAUCACAAGACAUCACCACUCCCAAUUCCAGAAAGGGUUCUGCCCAUAUCUAGAAGAAAGGAAUGCUGCACAGAGACACCAAGAGAAUUUGAACAGACAGGCCCUGCUGGCACCCCCUGCCCCAGGCAAAUGGAUGGAACUAGAAGAAAUCAUCCUGAGUGAGGUAACCCAGCCACAAAAAGACAAGCAUGCCCUCAUCCAGUGGCUGAUGGAAGCAGGGGCAGACAUCCACAGAUACACACUGAACUGAACUCUGGAAGUUAGUUGCAGAGAGGGAGGAAUGAAGAUUGAAGGGGUCGGUACCAGGCUGGUGAAACCCACAGGAACAGUUGGCCUGAACAAGGGGGGACACAGCGCCCCCAGAUGCUGGGAGGCCAGUACAGGACUGAUCCAGACCCCUGAGCAUGGAUGUCAAUGAGGAGGCCUCUGCACUCCAGGGGGCCCUGGUAGUGGAUUAGCAAUUUCCCCUGGUGUUAGAAGGGACUGUGAGAGCCCAACCCACGUGAAGGGACACACUCUUGGCCUGGAC